UACAGAGGGGGCAAGCGUUGUUCGGAAUUACUGGGCGUAAAGGGCGCGUAGGCGGCCAACUAAGUCGAACGUGAAAUCCCUGGGCUCAACCCAGGAACUGCGUCCGAUACUGGUUGGCUUGAAUCCGGGAGAGGGAUGCGGAAUUCCAGGUGUAGCGGUGAAAUGCGUAGAUAUCUGGAGGAACACCGGUGGCGAAGGCGGUUCUCUGGGCAUUACCUGACGCUGAGGAGCGAAAGUGUGGGGAGCGAACAGG
RNAcentral lists this ribosomal RNA (253 nucleotides) under uncultured bacterium. RNAcentral's name for it is "partial 16S ribosomal RNA". It matches the Rfam family "Bacterial small subunit ribosomal RNA", at positions 524 to 776 of the family's 1533-position model. The record is from RNAcentral.